RNAcentral lists this ribosomal RNA (941 nucleotides) under uncultured archaeon. RNAcentral describes it as "bacterial SSU rRNA". It matches the Rfam family "Archaeal small subunit ribosomal RNA", at positions 1 to 922 of the family's 1478-position model. The record is from RNAcentral.
UUUCCGGUUGAUCCUGCCGGACCCCACUGCUAUCGGGAUAGGACUAAGACAUGCUAGUCGAGUGGCUCAGCCAAUACGAGCCACGGCAUACAGCUCAGUAACACGUGGCUAAUCUGCCCUUAGGACGAGAACAACCCCGGGAAACUGGGGCUAACUCUCGAUAGGCGAAGAACUCUGGAAUGAGUCUUCACCCAAAUAGUUCAGCGUUACGCUCGUUGGACCGCCUAAGGAUGAGGCCGCGACCGAUCAGGUUGUUAGUGAGGUAAUGGCUCACCAAGCCUUUUACCGGUGCGGGCCGUGAGAGCGGGAGCCCGGAGAUGGGCACUGAGACAAGGGCCCAGGCCCUACGGGGCGCAGCAGUCGCGAAAACUUUGCAAUACACGAAAGUGUGACAGGGCUAUCCCGAGUGCCAUCCGCUGAGGAAGGCUUUUACCCAGUCUAGAAAGCUGGGGGAAUAAGGAGAGGGCAAGUCUGGUGUCAGCCGCCGCGGUAAUACCAGCUCUCCGAGUGGUGUGGAUGUUUAUUGGGCCUAAAGCAUCCGUAGCUGGCUAAGUUAGUCCCUUGUUAAAUCCACCGAAUUAAUCGUUGGAUUGCGGGGGAUACUGCUUGGCUAGGGGACGAGAGAGGCAGACGGUAUUUCCGGGGUAGGGGUGAAAUCCUAUAAUCCCGGGAAGACCACCAGUGGCGAAGGCUGUCUGCUAGAACGCGCCCGACGGUGAGGGAUGAAAGCUGGGGGAGCGAACCGGAUUAGAUACCCGGGUAGUCCCAGCUGUAAACGAUGCAGGCUAGGUGUUUGGACGGCCACGUGCCGUUCUAGUGCCGCAGGGAAGCUGUUAAGCCUGCCGCCUGGGGAGUACGAUCGCAAGAUUGAAACUUAAAGGAAUUGGCGGGGGAGCACCACAAGGGGUGAAGCUUGCGGUUUAAUUGGAUUCAACGCCGGA